Molecule: long non-coding RNA, 449 nt
Filed under: Elaeis guineensis (African oil palm)
Lineage: Eukaryota; Viridiplantae; Streptophyta; Magnoliopsida; Arecales; Arecaceae
Description: long non-coding RNA (EGUI_LNC017393)
Source: RNAcentral
GCUAGUUAGGAAUUGGGGUAUUUUUGAGGUGAAAUGGUAGUUGGCGAGAUUCACCUUGGAGAAGAUGCUGGCAUAGGCCAUGGAAGUCAUAUGCUUGUCGUUGAAUGAUCUGGUGUUAGUUAUUUGGGACACCUAAGACUCUAGUUGCUCAUAUAGUAAGUCACUUGGUAUUUAUCAUCUGGGAGCUCCGACUCUCAAGCUAUCUCAAGGUUAAUUUUGAUGGUAGUGUGAGAGGUAGCAGAUGAUAAGAUUCAUAAUUCAUAGUCUCGACUCCAAAUUUGUGGUGGCAAGUGAGAGCCAUUUCCUAAAUAGCAUUGUUCCAAGAGUGGAGAUACAGGCCGUCGAGGUGGGAAUUACCUUCACCAGGCUGAGGCUGAGGGUAGGGAGACUUAUGAUCAAGGGGGACAGCCACUGUGAUUGGCUGGAUGAGGAAGCAACCAAAAGAGGUG